UACGGAAGGGGCAAGCGUUGUUCGGAAUCAUUGGGCGUAAAGGGCGCGUAGGUGGUUCUGUAUGUCUACCGUGAAAGCGUACGGCUCAACCGUAUUUUGUCGGUGGAAACUGCAGGACUUGAGGCUGGGAGGGGCUGGUGGAAUUCCCUGUGUAGCGGUGAAAUGCGUAGAUAUUGGGAGGAACACCGGUGGCGAAGGCGGCCCCCUGGACCGGUACUGACGCUGAGGCGCGAAAGCGUGGGUAGCAAACGGG
RNAcentral lists this ribosomal RNA (253 nucleotides) under uncultured bacterium. Its description in RNAcentral is "partial 16S ribosomal RNA". It matches the Rfam family "Bacterial small subunit ribosomal RNA", at positions 524 to 776 of the family's 1533-position model. The record is from RNAcentral.